Molecule: transfer RNA, 64 nt
Filed under: Comatermes perfectus
Lineage: Eukaryota; Metazoa; Arthropoda; Insecta; Blattodea; Kalotermitidae
Description: tRNA-Phe
Source: RNAcentral
AUUUGAAUAGCUUAUAUUUAGAGUACAACAUUGAAGAUGUUGUUGAGGUAUCUACCUUCAAGUG